AUCUCCAUGGAUUUUCCGUUCAUUUAUCCAAUGAGUACCUGCUAUGCAUCAGUCCUGCUUCCCAUCACAAGGUUCCUGAGGACGCCAUACCUGCCAUAGCUAAGGAGGCCAGUUCAUCUACGUACAGCCUGCCUCCCCUGGGUAAGCCUUCCUUGGCAAGGCCUGAAGAAGUUUGUCCAUUCAUUGUAUGCUACAAUUUAUUUGACA
This 207-nucleotide long non-coding RNA is filed under the name Dasypus novemcinctus (nine-banded armadillo). Its description in RNAcentral is "lncRNA (ENSDNOG00000050282.1)". Lineage: Eukaryota; Metazoa; Chordata; Mammalia; Cingulata; Dasypodidae. The record is from RNAcentral.